This 795-nucleotide ribosomal RNA is filed under the name bacterium C10. RNAcentral's name for it is "bacterial SSU rRNA". It matches the Rfam family "Bacterial small subunit ribosomal RNA", at positions 8 to 796 of the family's 1533-position model. The record is from RNAcentral.
GGAUAGUUUGAUCCUGGCUCAGAUUGAACGCUGGCGGCAUGCCUUACACAUGCAAGUCGAACGGCAGCACGGAGCUUGCUCUGGUGGCGAGUGGCGAACGGGUGAGUAACAUAUCGGAACGUACCCUGGAGUGGGGGAUAACGUAGCGAAAGUUACGCUAAUACCGCAUACGAUCUAAGGAUGAAAGUGGGGGAUCGCAAGACCUCAUGCUCGUGGAGCGGCCGAUAUCUGAUUAGCUAGUUGGUAGGGUAAAAGCCUACCAAGGCAUCGAUCAGUAGCUGGUCUGAGAGGACGACCAGCCACACUGGAACUGAGACACGGUCCAGACUCCUACGGGAGGCAGCAGUGGGGAAUUUUGGACAAUGGGCGAAAGCCUGAUCCAGCAAUGCCGCGUGAGUGAAGAAGGCCUUCGGGUUGUAAAGCUCUUUUGUCAGGGAAGAAACGGUGAGAGCUAAUAUCUCUUGCUAAUGACGGUACCUGAAGAAUAAGCACCGGCUAACUACGUGCCAGCAGCCGCGGUAAUACGUAGGGUGCAAGCGUUAAUCGGAAUUACUGGGCGUAAAGCGUGCGCAGGCGGUUUUGUAAGUCUGAUGUGAAACCCCCGGGCUCAACCUGGGAAUUGCAUUGGAGACUGCAAGGCUAGAAUCUGGCAGAGGGGGGUAGAAUUCCACGUGUAGCAGUGAAAUGCGUAGAUAUGUGGAGGAACACCGAUGGCGAAGGCAGCCCCCUGGGUCAAGAUUGACGCUCAUGCACGAAAGCGUGGGGAGCAAACAGGAUUAGAUACCCUGGUAGUCC